ACCCAAUGCCAUGUUCCCUGUAGCAGAGAAGGUGGAUUGCAUUGACUGGUGAUGCUGCGAUCCGAGGCACAUCAAAUACUAGUUUCACAUGGUGAUAGGAACCUGUGGGUCUCUAGUUUUAUCCAUGGAGCCAUUUGCUGCGAUUACACUU
Magnolia sinica is the source of this 151-nucleotide small nucleolar RNA. RefSeq annotates it as small nucleolar RNA snoR2/U65. The transcript has a single exon. NCBI's taxonomy places the organism in Eukaryota, Viridiplantae, Streptophyta, Magnoliopsida, Magnoliales, Magnoliaceae. The record is from RefSeq and is a predicted model, not a curated record.